Molecule: long non-coding RNA, 1069 nt
Organism: Pan paniscus (pygmy chimpanzee)
Lineage: Eukaryota; Metazoa; Chordata; Mammalia; Primates; Hominidae
Source: Ensembl
ACAAGUUAUGAGGGAUCCCCUGCCCCAGGAACAGCCUAAGAUCUCAAGAAGAGGAAGAGGAAACCCACAAACAAACAGCUUUUCCAGCUUCAUCUGCCCCCACCUCCCCCAGCCCUGGACUGGUGGGAUCCAGAAGGAAGGGCCCAAACUGCAGCCUCAUAAACCUUCCCGAAAGCCCUCAUAAACAGCAGGCCUGGCUGGUGCCACAUCUGGUGCUGCAAAAAGCAAAAUCUCUGGUUGUAAAGUAAUCCUCAUAAAAAAAAGAGAGUAAAGAAAAAAACCUCUGUGAUAAAUACAGUAAUGACCUCUAGGAAACAAGGAAAAGGAGCCCAAGUUCCUAUGACUGCAAAGGGAAGUGGGGCUUCAGCCCCAGCAGACACCACCCAAAAGACUCACUUCCAAUCCAAUUUCCAACCCUGAAAAUGCAAGAUCUUCCACAAAUGCAGAAUCUUCACAGUGGGCUGAUUUCUUUAAGGAACUGGGAUAAAAAUAACAAUAAGGUCAAGACCACAGUGACCUCUGGACUCCAGCCCCUGGCUAAGAAUGCAAUCUACCUGUCCACGGGCCAGUGUGAUGCAAGAUGUCAAGGGAUGGUGAUCACUGAGAGACCAAAGAUUUCCUCUGAAUUUGCCUGGAUUUUCACACUUGAUUGUUCACUGUCAAAAGGAAGAACAGGUGUACCUACAGCAACCUGGCUGCAGAAAUCUACAUUCUCCUUAUUCUGAGAAACCCCCCAAAAUACUACCACCAAAGUAGAAACCAAAUUUAUCCUGAAUUGACAUGUACCCCCUAACCCCAGCCCAACUCCAUACUCCUCUCUGUCAAGGAAGCAAAAUCAAUUUCCUUUGCUUUAGAUACCAGCAUGUAGGCUUGUGGACUUCCAAAUGCUGUCUUCCAAGAACUUGGAGUUUAAACACGAUCCCUUGGGUGAUAUGUCCAAAGAAGUUCUCACUGAAAUUCCCCGCAUCGUAAAAUGUCAGGAUGUCUGCGGUCUUUAUUUAUAGACAGAUUGCUUUUCAACUUUUCUCACUCCAACAUUUCAAUGUGUUAUUCCUGAAGAUAAAUGCAC